Molecule: RNA transcript, 5044 nt
Organism: Cylas formicarius (sweet potato weevil)
Lineage: Eukaryota; Metazoa; Arthropoda; Insecta; Coleoptera; Brentidae
Gene: Tti1
Gene name: TELO2-interacting protein 1 homolog
Exons: 16
Source: RefSeq, a predicted model, not a curated record
AGAUUUAGGCACACGACUUUAUUAAUCGAACGAUGGAAGUUGGAUCAGACACGUUAGUAAUCUGUGGAUUUAACCCUAAGUAAAUUAGGAAAACCAAAGUUUUGUUGACUGCAUUAUAAUGGGGCCUUCGUUCGACAGCUUUUUGAAAUUACAAGAUUUAUGUCAUGCGAUUUUAAAGAACCCGGAUAACCUAAAUUCGCUGAAAGAUCUUAAAUUUUGCAUUAACCAGAUUCCAAGAAAUCUUAUUGAACAGGCACAUAAACCACUUUUGGCUAGUUUUUAUGCAAUUCUAAAGAUGAUAUCCGUUGACAAAAAUCGAUUUCCAGUCAACAAGAAGCAAAUCUUUGUGGAUACUUUAAAAGAGUUCUUGAAUAAGGCUUCCAUCACAAGUGAAAUAUUAUUUUUUAACAUUUACUCUUUCCUAUUGUUUGAACUUUAUGAUUACUCGCAGCAUAAGAUUUUAGCAAUACCUGAGGAAUAUAAAAUUAUGCUGUUACAAUGUAUGACUGCACUUCUAAAAAGUAUUUCUCCCGACAUAUUUGAUAAAAUAUAUAACAAAGAAAAUAUUCCGAAAAUAUCUCAAAUAGUAUUUGUAUGUGGAGAUUUAGCAAAACAAGAAAAGUCAAAAGAAAUAAAAUAUUUGGCAAUUGUCUGUGUUAUGGCUCUAGGAAAAGUUAGUGAUUCAGAUGACUAUAGUGAUAUUGUUUUACGGUGUAAAGUAGCAGAAGUUUUCAUGUUUUUUCUUCCUGGAAUUGUGAGUGCUCUUUGCCAAGUUAUUGUAGACAGUAUUAAAAGUGGUCAUAAAGUAUUAACGGUUGCCAUUAAAGCCUUUGGUCGCAUUGUGUCAAUUGUAGCUCAAAAUUAUGAACCUAAUGAUACUGGUUAUCUGCCUGACCUUGUUAUGUUAAAAGAAGCAAAAAGCAAAAUUAAAGUAAAAUGGAAAAAUAAAGAGGAAAUUGAUAAGUAUAUCAACACUACAAAAAGAACUUUGGAAUGGUAUAAAACCACAGAUGAAAAUUUACAAGCAAGCAUUACCAAGCUUAUCAAAAUUACCAGUCAUGAAAAUAUGAAAGUUAGACUAGAAUUAAUUGAAAUGAUUUCCCACAUAGUUAGUUAUUGUCACAGAACACUACCUUUGUCCAUUGCUAGUCUUAUUGAGUUUCUUAUAAUACUUUCUGAAGAUGACACCACCGAAGUUUCAGAUGUUAGUAAAAGUUUAAUGAAUGAUCUCUCUAAUAAACUAUCAUCAACAUCUUUGGUCUCAACAUUUGAAAGUUUAAAGGAGGGUUAUUACAACUCCAUACAAGAUCUUCCCAGAGUGUUCAACAAUGCGGAUGAUCAUCAAAAAAUAAUAGCUUUGAAUCUAAUCAUCGGCUAUGUAAAGCUAUUUGGGGAAACUGAUCUGAAAAGUAUCAUGUCAAGUCCCGUACUGUUGAAUGUGUUUAUAGAUAACUUGGUUCAUAUCUCCAAGUUACAAAUUUCUCAAGUUAGCAUUUUGGAGGAAAUUACUAUUAAAGAAAUUGUUCUGGUAAAGGACUUUAAGCAGCCUUGGAUUAAUUUUUUAUACUUUAGAGAUGAGACAAUAAAAAAUAAGUUGGAUCAAUUGUGUGCUCUCUUGUCAAAAAGUGGUUGUCUUGAUUUGCUUUACAAUUCUCUUAUGGAUCGUUUUGACGACAUAUCCAAUGAACACCGCAAGGAGAUCCAGUACUUACUUAAUGCCAUGCUUGUGCCAGAUUUAGAUGUAUAUGUGGAAAAUCCUCAAAUACUUAAAAACUUAAUCCAAAUCUACACUGAAAAAUUACACUAUCAAUUGUCCAUUGUUGAGUGUGAAGGCUAUACUCCAGAAGAACUCAAAGAAACAGUCGUUUUUCUGUGUUUAUUGGUGGAAGGUAUUGGUAAACUUUCCCUUACACUUAAAGAUAAGUUUAUUGCCCAUUUGCUACAUUGUCUUUAUGUGGUAUUAAGAUGUGCUGGUUGUAGACAUCCAUUAUUGCAAAAGGCCGGACUAUCCACAAUUGCUAUUAUUACGUAUUCAUGCGGUUACGCCGACUUCACAGAAUUAGUAAGCACCAAUUUUGAUUAUUUUUCAUAUCAUGUAGAAAGAAAACUUCUGAAAGCAGAUGAAAGAGAAAGCGCCCUAAAUGUGUUGUCGGUUGUUUUGAACCAUUGCACAAAAGACAUAUUCCAAUAUUUAAGCAAUAUUGUUGAAGGGAUUUUAGAGAACCCUUCAGACAUAUUUCAAAUAAAACAUGCCACUCCUUAUCUGAAAGUAUUGAGAAUGUGCGUUAUUUCCAUGAGACGUUGGUUUCCAAUAGAAGAAGAACAUCUUCCAAUUAAAUCUAGAUCACAGAAACAAGAUGAAUAUGAAGAAUAUCAUGUCUCAGGCAUACGAGAAAGUGAAAACUUUAGCGAUGACAUUAUGGAAGGUAAAACUGCAGAAGAAAUGUACAAAGAGGAUGUGGAAAGAAAAGCAAAUGAAAAUGAAGAAAUGGAUAUGGAACCAGACACGGCUAUAGAGUAUCAAAAACCAGAACCACCUCAAUAUGUUUCUGUAGCCACUACCAUUUUGCAAAGAAGUUUACAUUUUCUACCAUCAAAAGAUAGGUCUCGAAAAUUGCUGGUGCUAGAAAUACUUUCUACUGGGAUUGAAAUUUUGAAAGAUUGGGAAGAUCAGCUGCUGCCUACCGUCCACCAAAUUUGGUCUCCCCUCGUGCAGAGAUUUACAGAGUCAGAGGGGCCCCUGAUAAUAAGUUAUAGUUUUGAUUUGUUGCUGAUUUUGGCGAAACUCUCCAAAGACUUUAUAAGGAUGAGGACCGUGAAAGAAGUUUUGCCGAAUUUACUUCAAUUACUUGAGAAACUGUCUCGUGAGAGUUACCUAAAGGAUAAAGGUGCGGCAUUCAGGUACACGCAAAAAUACAAACUACAGAUCAAGGUUCUGGAUAAAUUGGGUUAUAUAUUGGCUUAUCUUGAUGUACAAAAUGAGGUGAUGGAAAAAUGUAUGGAAUGCGCAUUUCUUUAUUUGUCUGAUAAACAACCUCAGCCUUUACAAGUUAGUGCAUUAAAUUUCUUCAAUAUCGUCAUCAAAUAUGACUUGGGAUUAGUCGUUAAAAUUACCAAGAAAUGGAAUGAUAAGUUCACUGCGAAAGAGUAUCAAAGAAAUGUAGAACAAAUAAAUCAUAUGAUAAACAUGUAUGAGAGGCAAUUCUGAUGUGUACACUGAUAUAUUUUCAAUGUAUUAGAAACAUUGUUCGUUUGUUUCCAUUAAUAUACUAAAAAACAAUUCUGCAUUACAAACCAACCGAAACAAAUUAAAGCAAUGGACUACUCCAAAUAAGUGGAAGGGAAACUGUAGUUCCAGCCUGAAUUAGUCGAUUCAUUUAAUUUAUAAAAACUUUGAGAAGCACUAUUGAAAGGGUGCCGACGAAACCGGCCUUUGUUGGAAGUUGUAACCCAGUAAGACUUAUGUAUCAGAGACAGAGAAAACUGCACCGGGCAGAAAAAUUUCUAAACAACAGCUUACAUUUUUGGUCUGUACAAAUGCCGCAGGCGAUCAUAAAUUAAAGCCAUUAGUCCUAGGAAAAUCAAAAGUUGUUAAGAAUGCAUGGAUGACAAUGAAAAUUUUUCGAGAGUGGUUUCAUGAUAUUUAUCCCCGAGGUUAGUUCAGGUGAACGCGUUUUUAAUGAGUCUCGUAACUUACCCGUUAAGGCGUUAUUAUUAUUGGAUAAUGCACCGAGUCAUCAACCUGAAGCCAAUUUAAAAAGUUCUGAUGGUCUUAUUAUUGUAAUGUUUAUGCCACCAAAUGUAACAAUGCAGCCAAUGGACCAGAACGUUAUCAGAAUUACCAAGUUAUUUUUUUGUAAAAACCUACCAAGCCAAUUAUUGUCAAAAGGCUCUGACCUAAGUGCAAUGUUGGAAACAUACACUUUAAGGGAUGCAGUUUCAAAUUUAGCUUUGGCCAGGAAUAUGUUAAAACUAAUUUUUAUAGAGAAAUGUUGGCGAAAUAUUUUAACAAUCAACUUGGAUGAUGAAGAGGAUACUGUCCCCUUAAGUGUUUUAAUUUUGUGUAUUACAGGUUGAAUGUGAAAUAAACGACAUUAAUAGAGAUGAAAUAACAAUUGAUUCUGUUUCGGAAAAAGAUGACAAUGACUAUUGUCGCGAACAUUGCCUUAUAUUUUCGUCAAUGUUGGGAUUAUUUUAUAAGCUGGCAACAGCGCGGUUUGUCCGAGUAGUCAAGCACAUGAAUACGCCAAAAAAAAAAAAAAUAAAGUGUUGUUAUGUGAAAAGAGUCGUUUUAUAUCUACAUUUUUUCUAUCCCGAGAAUAACCAUAACCGAAUCGAAGUAUAUCUACGUUAAACGAGUAUACGCAACAACUAUGUCAAAUACAGAAAACAAGCUAAUUUCAACAAGCCACGAUAUGCGAAAUGGUGAUAUAAUAGAAUAUAACGUCUUGAUUGUGUCACAUGAUUUAAAACAAAAAAUUCUAGAAAUCAACCUAAAGAAACAGUUUAAAUGACCUUAACUAACGCCAUUUUUCACGCAUAGUUUAAUAUUUUUCUAUAAACCUUAGUAUGCAUUUAAUUAUAAUAGUACUUUUUGUUUGCUACUUUUUGCAGAAUAUAUAUAUUAUUUCUUUCAGCGUGUCCUUACUUAAUCUCAAACCCCGCAAAUCUUAACACCUGCAAAAGAGUAAAAUUGCUUUGCCAAAAUAAGUUCAAUAAAUCGCGACUUCACUGUAGUGCAAAAUAAUUAUAAUAUAAUUAAUUAUAAUCAUGUUCACGUUGUUCUUUAUGACGGAGGUGAUAUGGAGAACAUUUUUUAUUGGACGGGCUUGCAACUUAUUUUUCUAUAUUUUGAAUCUCACGCAAAAUUUUUAUUGUCCUGCUGUAUACAGUAAUUUUUAUGUAAAUAAAUACACACUAAAUAUAUCAAUUUAAAAAGAACUCCUUUGGAUCUAAGCUACAAUUUACAAAGGACCCUGAUAUUAUAAAAGUGUGCAAAAGGCAUUUUUUAUGGCCCCCGUUUUUAUUUUUUGCGAACGAAAGC